RNAcentral lists this ribosomal RNA (468 nucleotides) under uncultured bacterium. RNAcentral's name for it is "partial 16S ribosomal RNA". It matches the Rfam family "Bacterial small subunit ribosomal RNA", at positions 28 to 507 of the family's 1533-position model. The record is from RNAcentral.
GACGAACGCUGGCGGCGUGCUUAACACAUGCAAGUCGAACGGAAAGGCCCUGCUUUUGUGGGGUGCUCGAGUGGCGAACGGGUGAGUAACACGUGAGUAACCUGCCCUUGACUUUGGGAUAACUUCAGGAAACUGGGGCUAAUACCGGAUAGGAGCUCCUGCUGCAUGGUGGGGGUUGGAAAGUUUCGGCGGUUGGGGAUGGACUCGCGGCUUAUCAGCUGGUGGGGGGGGUAGUGGCUUACCAAGGCUUUGACGGGUAGCCGGCCUGAGAGGGUGACCGGCCACAUUGGGACUGAGAUACGGCCCAGACUCCUACGGGAGGCAGCAGUGGGGAAUAUUGCACAAUGGGCGGAAGCCUGAUGCAGCAACGCCGCGUGCGGGAUGACGGCCUUCGGGUUGUAAACCGCUUUCGCCUGUGACGAAGCGUGAGUGACGGUAAUGGGUAAAGAAGCACCGGCUAACUACGUG